GAUGAACGCUGGCGGCGUGUCUAAUACAUGCAAGUCGAGCGAACGGACGAGAAGCUUGCUUCUCUGAUGUUAGCGGCGGACGGGUGAGUAACACGUGGAUAACCUACCUAUAAGACUGGGAUAACUUCGGGAAACCGGAGCUAAUACCGGAUAAUAUUUUGAACCGCAUGGUUCAAAAGUGAAAGACGGUCUUGCUGUCACUUAUAGAUGGAUCCGCGCUGCAUUAGCUAGUUGGUAAGGUAACGGCUUACCAAGGCAACGAUGCAUAGCCGACCUGAGAGGGUGAUCGGCCACACUGGAACUGAGACACGGUCCAGACUCCUACGGGAGGCAGCAGUAGGGAACCUUCCGCAAUGGGCGAAAGCCUGACGGAGCAACGCCGCGUGAGUGAUGAAGGUCUUCGGAUCGUAAAACUCUGUUAUUAGGGAAGAACAUAUGUGUAAGUAACUGUGCACAUCUUGACGGUACCUAAUCAGAAAGCCACGGCUAACUACGUG
This 497-nucleotide ribosomal RNA is filed under the name uncultured bacterium. Its description in RNAcentral is "partial 16S ribosomal RNA". It matches the Rfam family "Bacterial small subunit ribosomal RNA", at positions 28 to 507 of the family's 1533-position model. The record is from RNAcentral.